AUUGAACGCUGGCGGCAGGCCUAACACAUGCAAGUCGAACGGUAACAGGAAGCAGCUUGCUGCUUCGCUGACGAGUGGCGGACGGGUGAGUAAUGUCUGGGAACCUGCCUGAUGGAGGGGGAUAACUACUGGAAACGGUAGCUAAUACCGCAUAACGUCGCAAGACCAAAGAGGGGGACCUUCGGGCCUCUUGCCAUCGGAUGUGCCCAGAUGGGAUUAGCUAGUAGGUGGGGUAACGGCUCACCUAGGCGACGAUCCCUAGCUGGUCUGAGAGGAUGACCAGCCACACUGGAACUGAGACACGGUCCAGACUCCUACGGGAGGCAGCAGUGGGGAAUAUUGCACAAUAGGCGCAAGCCUGAUGCAGCCAUGCCGCGUGUAUGAAGAAGGCCUUCGGGUUGUAAAGUACUUUCAGCGGGGAGGAAGGGAGUAAAGUUAAUACCUUUGCUCAUUGACGUUACCCGCAGAAGAAGCACCGGCUAACUCCGUG
RNAcentral lists this ribosomal RNA (490 nucleotides) under uncultured bacterium. Its description in RNAcentral is "partial 16S ribosomal RNA". It matches the Rfam family "Bacterial small subunit ribosomal RNA", at positions 30 to 507 of the family's 1533-position model. The record is from RNAcentral.